This 489-nucleotide ribosomal RNA is filed under the name uncultured bacterium. RNAcentral describes it as "partial 16S ribosomal RNA". It matches the Rfam family "Bacterial small subunit ribosomal RNA", at positions 29 to 507 of the family's 1533-position model. The record is from RNAcentral.
AUGAACGCUAGCUACAGGCUUAACACCUGCCAGUCGCGGGGCAGCAUGGGGGUUGCUUGCAAUCCCCGAUGGCGACCGGCGCACGGGUGAGUAACGCGUAUCCAACCUGCCCUUCACCACGGGAUAACCCGGCGAAAGUCGGACUAAUACCGUAUGUUGUCCAUUGACGGCAUCCGAUUUGGACGAAAGGUUUGGCGGUGAAGGAUGGGGAUGCGUCCGAUUAGCUGGACGGCGGGGUGACGGCCCACCGUGGCGACGAUCGGUAGGGGUUCUGAGAGGAAGGUCCCCCACACUGGAACUGAGACACGGUCCAGACUCCUACGGGAGGCAGCAGUGAGGAAUAUUGGUCAAUGGGCGUAAGCCUGAACCAGCCAAGUAGCGUGCAGGAUGACGGCCCUAUGGGUUGUAAACUGCUUUUAUGCGGGGAUAAAGUGGCCCACGUGUGGGUUUUUGCAGGUACCGCAUGAAUAAGGACCGGCUAAUUCCGUG